CUCCUUCAGAGCUGGAAAAAUAAGGAAAGGGGAGUUGAAGUCUCACCCCUAUGUGAUAACAAGGGUCCAUGCAGUGCCCUACCCGUUUUUCACUAUUUCCCUGAAUCCCAACUUGAAAGGCAACUAGAGCUAAACAGCCGAUAAUGACUGCCCCUCCCUGCCCCAGCCCCCCUUUUAAGAAAGACUUUACAAAGAGCACGUGCAAAAUGAUCGCAGGCCCAAAACUCAGUACGUCAGCCCCCCACUCAUAGCCUUUAGGCCAUGUUGUGGUUAGCUUAUUCGUGAACCCAGUGCUUCUCAGUCAGGGUGCCACACGAUUCACAAGAUGAACCCAGGAGUGUCCAAUAAGAAUCCAUAGUGCCAAAAGCACAUUUUCACCUGUUGCAGCCCUACCAAGUGUUUUGCAACAGAAAAAUUGUUCAACUACUGCUCUGUAGUCCAAGAAUGAGUGAAGACAAAGAGUUGGCAUUUUUUGUUGAGGGCUACCCCAUCUCUAAAGAGAUGGAGGACCACUGCUGUAACCAUUUUAAAGCAUAGUUUUACCUCAGAGCCCAGGACAGAAUCACUGGAAUAGUGAGAAGCCUUAAUCUGACCGAUGAAAAAUAUGGAAUGAGUAGAAUAACCCAUGGAUCAUCAAUAUAAGGCUAGAAAGGACCUCAGGAGAUAUACUUCAACUCCCUGCUCAAGGCAGGAUCAACCCAAUUCAAGCCAUCUCAUCUAACUGUUGGUCUAGCCUGCUCUUACAGAACUUCCAAGGAUGGAGAUCCCACAACCUCACCAGGCCACGGACACAAGAAGGAAGGCUUUGUGAAAGAAGUAAACAGAUGCCUCUGGAAGUGGUGCUGCCAUGGGGACUUCGGUUUCUUUGACCACAGCACGUCAUUCAGGGAGAGAGAACUUCUGGGAUGAGAUGGCAUCCACCUCACAUGGAGAGAUUGGGAUUAGAUGGAAGUACUAUCAAGCGGAUAUCAACUGGCUGGAUUAUUGUACUCAAUGGAUGCUCAUCUGUGGCUCAGUAUCUAAUUGGGAGGAGCCCAGAAGACUGAAGCCAUUUGAAGCUGAACACUAAUCUCUGGCAGAACCAGGAACAGAAGUAAGAAAAAGCCAAGAAGAAGAUAUUGUGUCAAACAAUUCUUUUGGGGGUCUAGCAUAAAGUUCUUAAGAUCUCAAAACCAUGAGUUAUUUCCCAGAGUAUAUGGCAUAUGCAAUAUGUUGGUACCAGGAAGUUCUAAAAUAGGGCUUUGUUACACAGAAAUUUUGGGCAUCUCCUGGAGCUCUUAAGACCUAGAUUGUCCACACAUUAACAACUGAAACUGGUUUUAAGCACUUGUUGCUUAUACAGCUCAAAAUCUCAGGCAGACAAGGUUCUUUGGGUGAAUCUGGUAUCUUUUAUUAGACCAACUUAAAAAGUUGGAAAAAAAAUUCUUAGCAUUUUGAGGUUUAAAAACCCUUUGUCAGGCUGAAGAAGCCUCUGCAGUUGGGGUGUAUUCUUCCUGGAUAGUAAAGAAGCCAGGGGCUGGGCUGGUAUGCAUGCAAGACUGGCAGUCAGUGAAGAUGUAAAUAGAAAAAUCAUGGCAGUCCAGAUCAAGAUUAUCUGAUCAGUGCUACCCAGCUUGUAUUGCACUAGAGUGGCUGCACCAUAGUGUAAACACCUCACCCAUCCCCUCUCCCCAGCUGACCCAGAUUGAGCCCAGUUCCUGCACCCCAGAUCUCUGCCCCACUGACUUCCAGCUGGUGCCACUGCUGUCUGCCCAGGGGAGCAAGCAGGGAAGACUUACACUGUCUGCCUGGCCACUGCCCCUGCUGCUCUCUGGGCCAGAAAAGCAGCAGCUGGGAAACAGUAGCAGCCCAGCCGGCAGGUUAACCCUUCCAUGCUUGCUCCCUUAGGACAGACAGCACCAGCAGCCACAAGUAAGUAAGGCCCCAGGGGAAAGCAGGGGAGAAGCCUGGAUUGGGCCUGGGGGAGGAUUCUUGCCUUUCAGCCCUCCAGGCCCCUGCUGGCCCAAAGUGUGACUGCUCCAAACUUGAGCUAGCACUAACACUGAUCAAUAUUUGGGUGGCUCACAAUAUAAAGUGUAACAAGGCCCACAGAAAUGCAACAAAUACCACUAUUGUAAUAUUAUUACAAUAUUUCAAUGACAGGUUUUUACAGUUUUCCCAAAGGCAGAAACUAUAUCUGCUCUCAGCUUUAUAUGUAUGUCUCUGCCCAGGAGGUAUAACAGAAGGCCUUAGGAAGCUUGUAGAAUAGGCCUCAAUAGAUUCCAAUACAGGAUUUUCUUUGAGGACAGAAAAAAUACAACUUUUCUUUUACUCUUGGUUAAUGUUCCGCCUUUGAUUUCCUUCUUGUUUGGCUUUGAUUUCAUUUCCUUCUUGUGCAUAUUAGGGAAUAAAGCUUAGCGAUAGAGCAUUUCCAGCACUCCAGGCAGAUGGAUAUGGACAGUCACUGGCUGCUCUUUCAAUCUGUAAACUGAAAAGAAAGCCAAGGGAAGAGGGGAAGUUGUUACAGAGGUAGACUUCACUCCUUCCAACCCUUUGCACUGCACAUGCAUAGACCCUGAAUAGUUGAGCUAAACCUAAAUAGGGUAGUUUUGAUCCUUGUUUGAGGGGUUAAGUAGAUAGCUAGAAACAAGCAGCUGCUCUUUCACUCUGUUGCAAAACAUUUUCAGAUAGCUCAUACUUUGGCUGUAAAUGAUGUAAUAGUGUCUGGGAAACAAGAAACAAGAAAUUGCUGAGUUGAGGUUAUUGCAUCAACUUAAUGGUUAGUUCUUGGGCUGGUAGCACAAAGUUUAGCUCUCAGAAUUGUGAGCCAUGUCCCAGAGUGUGUUGCACGUGCUGCAGUACUUGGGCACCAAACAGUUCUGAUGUGCGGAGUUAAAUUGCUUUCUUUAGAGCAUGAUCAACAACCCAUGGCCUGCAGGCCGGAUCUUGCCCAUAGAGCCCUUGGAACUACUAGCGUGUGGAGCUGUGGCUUCAGUGGCAUUCAGCAGAGAGAGGGAGAAGCGGGGAGGAGGCUUUAGUGGUGGAGGUGCUCUGCUCUGCCCAUACCAUGCUGCAGCUGGGCAAUGGAGAAAAGUGGCAGAGGCAGCUUGGUCCUAGUUCUGGCAUGUCUCAGACCUGAGUGGGAUCUUUCCAGUCCACAGCCAGAAAACAUUGCUGACCCCUGCUUUAGAGAGUGACAUAGAUGUUGCAAUUAAAGACAUGUUUUUGCAAAAUCUAGUUGGUUUAAUAAAAAAUCACUUCUACCAUCAGUUCUGAUUUAAUAGAUGUUACAAUGAUACUCAGGCUGAGUUCAUUUUGUGAGGGAACAUCUACAGAUACAGAUAUGGGAAAUGAAAGAAAACCUUGGCAUUUUGUAUGCUGAUUGCUCACUGGAUAGCCUGCUUCUGUUGACUGCAUAUUUGGACUCCACAAAUUUAAAAUUUGAGUUUAAUGCUUAGCACCCAUUUGGUUUAAAAGUUUAAUAGUAGAUAUCUUAUGUAUUAAUUACAUGUAUUUAGCAUAUUAGCUUGCAUACCAUGCACACAUUUGCCCCACAAAAUUAGUCAUCCAAAACUGGGGAGGGCAGGCUAAACAAGGCGCUGGUAUAUUUGUGCAGAAUGGAGGCAUGGGGACACUGGAAUGGCUACAAGGAGCUGGCUUCCUCCCUGCAUAAUGGAGGAUAGACAGAGUUUGCUGCUCUACCAAAGGCUAGAGGUUUAACCCCAUUGCAACCAUUGCUGAACUGACAGUGGUUUUUGGCAGUGGCAAUGACAAUCUGUUAGCCCUUUAGUUCAAUUAAGAACUCCAAAUUAUUGGAUAAAUAUUAGAUCCUGUACCCUUGUCAGAUGCCUUAAGAAGUACAUUUCAGAAGCCUGUACUCAUCCAAAUAAAACCUUAUUUGGAAGGUUAAAUAAUAAUUAUAUAUUCCUCCAGACAAAUGGCCUAGAAAACAUGCUGACAGUUACUGACCCAAUAUUACCCCUAUAUUUAAAAUGAUACAGAUUUACAAAUUAAAGAUGCCAGCAUGCAGACAGAUAUGCUGGCAGUGAAAUAUUCUCAAACUUCUCCUUUUCUGAGACUAAUUUUCUUGAAUAACACCCCCCCCCCCUCAAAUUUAAGACACACACCUUGUUUUGUGAAGAUAGAAUGAAAAUAAAAAUACCUUAAAUACCUGGGGUACAAAGCUACAAAGAACAAGACUGCAUUACUAUACUGCAGUUCACUCAAAUGAGAUGUGCAGUUGUUCUGAGAGGUGGUGUUAGACCCCCAUAUACAGACAAGGAUACGUUCUUGUGGAAAGAAUGAGACGGACUAGUGAGGGCCAGGUGUAUCACAAAUUAGCCCUUCACCCUCUACAAGGGCCUUCCCUGCCGGAUGUGCUGGCCUGCUUUCUGCUCCCUGUUUGAUUUGUCGCUGUGCUGCCUGUCCCUUCUCUGUUCUGUUGCAUGCCACAUAUAGAGGCUGCCUGUGCCAGGCACAGGCUGGCCAACCCUUGAGAUAGAUAAUUUAUAUCCCUAUUUGUGAUCUUACUCAUUCUUUGAAGAAAUAAGAGGAAAAUAAAUACCUCAAUUGGUGGAAAACUGAAGAAAAAAAAUUUGCUCCUCUCUAAUAACUUACAGCUUGUUUUAUACUCCCUAGCUGUAUUUGCAUUAUUUACACAAAUAAUAAGUGUCAAAAUCAAGUAAAAUUCCCAUUUUUAUUUUUAUAUUUUGCUAUUAUAUAUUGCCUCAUUUUAUGAAUUUUUUGGUGUCAGACACUGUUUUGUUUUAAUUUUGUUUAUACUGGCAGUAUGUGUAAUCUUACUGUAUGUUUUUACCAACAAUCAUUGUGGCAGGGCACUGUUGGUGCCUGCCACUUCAAGGGCUGAGCCAAACAGCUGGCAGGUGCUUGAUUACGGGCAGCCAUUUUAGAACUCUGGCCGCCUAUAUAAACAGAGCAGCUCGCUGCCUGCAGGCCAGGCAGGAGUGUUGCCUGGCUGUAAGUCUGUAUGAAACAUCUUGGAACUAAGGGCAGGAGCUUAAGGUGAUGAUUUGGAGGCUCCUGGUUCUGGGCAUGACCUAAAACUACACCCUGCCAGGAGUGGGUGGCCUGGUGGGGCUCCCAGUGGUGCGGGGGCUCCCAGUGGUGCGGGAGCCCCCAGGAAAUGCCAGGCCAGUUACCACCCUGGUGAAAGGUGGGUUGGGGCAUCUUAACCCCAGCCCCCACAACACUGUGGGUACAACGGGGCCAGGCACAGCUAUGGCCACCUGAGCCCAAGGACAGUGUAAGACCCAGAUGGGGCCAGGCACAGCUAUGGCCACCUGAGCCCCCCCUGGGGAGGGAAGCCCUGCAUUCCCUGAGGGGAGGGGGUAGAGAUGAGAAGCCCCAGUGAAGGGAAACCAGAGGGCUGGGAGCCCAGUGUGUGUGUGUGUGUGUGUGUGUGUGUGUGUGUGUGUGUAUAGAAUUGCCUUGGGAGGCACCAGGGCAAGCUUGGACCUGCUUGGGUAAUUGGCUGGCCACUACCCCAGUGAGGGUUGCGGGAGAGGCCCAAAAGAUGGUACGUCUGCCACCCAACAUGUGUGCUAAGUAAAGCCUAUGGCGAAAGGGGCCUGCUCCAAGAGGGAGCAAGGUGGUACAAAUUGUUGGUGUGUGAAAGAGACCCUGUGAGAGGAGGGCGGUAUGAAUGCGCACGUGUCUGAGGCCUGACAAUGAGGGCUAAGCUUGGUCUGGCUGUAAGCCAGGAGCAUUGUCACCUGGAUGCCAUCUGCGAGGCUUGGGCUGUGGUGUAGGGGAGGAACAGAGCCCCAGAUAGCACCCCCUGACAUUGGGGCAAGAAUGGGCAGUCUCCUGCCUAAUUAACACCAUAAUUAUCAUCAAAGCAUGGCAAAUGAGGAGGCGGGAGGUUGGCCCAGAAACAGGUGGGUGGACCAAUGGCAGACUGGCCCUGAUUGCCCCCUGUUACGAUCAUAAAUCAUAUAAUGUUAAUAUAUUACAUAUAAUUUUAAUGUCAUUCUUACCGCAUUUACUUACAGCCUUUACUAGAACAACUACUACUACUACUGUGAAAAUCUUUUUAUCUUCAUUCUGUCUUCACAAAACAAAGUGCGUCUCAAAUUUGGGGGUGUGUUAGGCCAGAAAAUAUGGCACUCCUUAAUUUCAUUCUUUGCUAUUUUACUUUCUAACUUUCCAACUUCAAUAUCAGAUUAUAUCAUAUACUCACAAAAUGAAUGAAAGACCAAGACACUUUAGCUGCCUGCCGCAACCCCUUCUUAAUUUUUUGUCUUCACUUUUCACAUAGUUCAACUUUCACCACCUAAUCAUUUAAUUUCCAAAUGACUCUAUACCUUUCUCACUACAUUCUUUCCCUAUUCUGUCCAAAAUAUUUGUUAAAUUUAUUGACUUGGAUGAAGAGAUUGUACCUUAAUUCCUGUUUUUAUCUGUUUCAUUUAAAUAUUUCCUUAAACUUUAAUUUUUUUUCAUCCUGCUGACAUAUAGAUAAAGGCUAAAGGUUUAUUUAUGUCAUCACUCAUAAAGUCUCUAUUUAUGUCUAAAUCCAAAUUGAGCAUCAACUUAGAUAAUUACAUUGAGCAUAUUUUAUUUUACUUUAAAAUAUUGUCAUGCUAUACAAAGCUCCUAUAAUCAUUUUCAAAAAUACAAUGCUUUGUUCCAUUGUUAAAUUUCAAUUUCUGUCUAAAUUUUCCGUGGUUUACCCCUGUGGCUUGCUGAAAGGAUAUUUACAAGUAUAUGUUCUCUCUGAGCAUGUGUGGCAAAAAUUCUGGCCAGCUCAUUAAAAUUUGUUUAACAGCAGAGAACUUUCCAUAAGAAGAUACAACCUCUCCUCAAUCAAUUUUUACUUGAAUGUUACCCCGGAAGAGAUGUUAUCAGAAAGUGGUUUUCCAUAGCUGUCACACUUAGCUCAACCUAUUUAAUUUCAGGAGCUGUUUCUGCUAAAUUUAGUUUACUUUAGUGCUUUAUUUUGAGUCUUUGCUAUUAAACGUAUAUUGCUUGAAGCAAGUUGUUUGUCAGCACAGUGUGUUAUAAAAUCUGUGUGAUGAUGGCACUCAGAUUUAUUUUAUAGCCCAAUAUGUUCAAUGCUCUCUGUACUCUAGUAGUGUAGAUAACAUUUAACCCUGUUUCUUACUAGUUUUAUCUUGCUAAAAUAAAAUGAGAUAGUAACUCG
Alligator mississippiensis (American alligator) is the source of this 7138-nucleotide long non-coding RNA. RefSeq lists it as uncharacterized. The transcript is spliced from 4 exons. Lineage: Eukaryota; Metazoa; Chordata; Crocodylia; Alligatoridae. The record is from RefSeq and is a predicted model, not a curated record.